GCCUAAGAGCAUCAGACUUUUAAUCUGAGGGCCCAGGGUUCAAGUCCCUGCUCGGGCG
This 58-nucleotide transfer RNA is filed under the name Anas platyrhynchos (mallard). It matches the Rfam family "tRNA", at positions 15 to 71 of the family's 71-position model. From Rfam's summary of the family: Transfer RNA (tRNA) molecules are approximately 80 nucleotides in length. Lineage: Eukaryota; Metazoa; Chordata; Aves; Anseriformes; Anatidae. The record is from Rfam by way of RNAcentral.